UGUUAAAAUUUUUAUUGUUAAAAACUGGCAUGACUAACAAAAUAAUUAAGCAGUGACAUGUGGCUUGUCAUGUGUACUCCGUGUUGAUGUACAAAGAUAAAAUUUUAACAGUAAAAAUAGAAGGAAUUUCUAAUA
Non-coding RNA from Gossypium raimondii (Peruvian cotton), 135 nucleotides. Lineage: Eukaryota; Viridiplantae; Streptophyta; Magnoliopsida; Malvales; Malvaceae. The record is from Rfam.